GAAUUACGAGCCCAAGCUUAAAACCCAAAGGACUUGACGGUGUCCCACCCCCCUAGAGGAGCCUGUUCUAUAAUCGAUUUUCCCCGAUCCACCUCACCGCCCCUUGAAUCUUCAGUCUGUAUACCUCCGUCGUAAGCUUACCAUGUGAACGUUUAUUAGUGAGCUCAAAAAUUUAACACUCACACGUCAGGUCAAGGUGCAGCCCACGGGACGGAAAGAAAUGGGCUACAAUCUCUACCCUAGAACAAACGGAAAACUGUCUGCAAUACAGUCACUAAGGCGGAUUUAGAAGUAAAAAGAAAAUAGAGAGUUCUUUUUAAUCGGGCGCUGGGACGCGUACACACCGCCCGUCAUCCUCUUCAAAUAUAUACUCAUGUUUUUAACAAGAUUUCUUACAGAAGAGGCAAGUCGUAACACGGUAAGCGUACUGGAAAGUGCGCUUGGAAUAACAAAAUGUAAUUUAAUAAAAAUAUCUUGCUUACACCAAGAAUAUAUCCAUGGAAUCUGGAUCAUUUUGAGCCUAAAAUCUAGCCCUAUCUCUUUCUAAUAGAAUAAUUUACCAAUAAAUAUAAAUAAAACAUUUUCUCAGCCAAGUAAAGGCGAUUAAAAAGCAUCUAGGAGCCUCAACAUUUGUACCGCAAGGG
RNAcentral lists this ribosomal RNA (644 nucleotides) under Sphenophryne cornuta. RNAcentral describes it as "partial 12S ribosomal RNA". The stretch from base 1 to 456 matches the Rfam family "Bacterial small subunit ribosomal RNA", at positions 877 to 1533 of the family's 1533-position model. The record is from RNAcentral. Lineage: Eukaryota; Metazoa; Chordata; Amphibia; Anura; Microhylidae.